Molecule: long non-coding RNA, 1892 nt
Organism: Canis lupus familiaris (dog)
Lineage: Eukaryota; Metazoa; Chordata; Mammalia; Carnivora; Canidae
Exons: 3
Source: RefSeq, a predicted model, not a curated record
CAGGGAGCCCGACGUGGGACCCGAUUCCAGGACUCCAGGAUCACGCCCUGGCCCAAAAGCAGGCACUAAACCGAUGAGCCACCCAGGGAUCCCGAGAAACAGUUUUUAAAGGGAGACUGAACAGUCACUCUAAAUGGAAGGAAGGAACAGCUUCACUGGACAAGUGACUUUUGAGCAACGCACUCAAGGAGGCAGGAAGUGAACGGAGCAGCCAUUGCAAAGGCCCUGUGGCUGCACAUGUCUGCCAAGGUUUCUGGAUCUGGGAAUUGAGUCGCAGGAGAAAACAGCCAAGGGAUGUGUGGUUGGGAGGACUGGCUGGCAGAUGUCCACUUUACCCCCUACGGCUGUGUGACCCACCAGAUCCUGCUCCCUGGCUCAGGACAUCAGUCAAGAGAGAAAGGCAUUCGGACGCCGGAGAUGAUGAGCAGAGGGGUGCUGAUCCGUCUGCAAGGAGGGAAGAGACUCGACAUGGACUUCCCAAUAUUGCCUUGGCCGGGGGUGCUAGGACACAUCAGAAAGGUGCUGGGACAUGUGGUGUCAUGACCACAUAUGUACAGAAACACGGCCAUACAGGCAUGGGCAUGUGAACACACAUCUGAAUGAAUGUGUUCUCGUAGGACCCUCUCUCCUCUUCCACGACUCAGGGAUGGGAGUGCAGGUCAUUUUUCCCAGAAUCCAGUGUCUGGCAUCUGCACAAAGGGAAUCCUGUGACAGGGAUGGCGGGGCUGGGCAUUCCUCUUGCGACAAGUGUUUGCAUCUCCCUGGUCUCCCAAACGGCAGACCUGGAAAGCUGGUUGAGAUUUUUCAGAGUGGCUACGACCACAGGGCCAUCUAUGUGGGAGACGGGAAUAUGGCCCCUGCAGGCUGGGAAAGAUUUUCUGUUUAAAGAGCAUCCCUUGGAUUUAUUUUUUUUAAAAGAUUUCAUUUAUUCAUAAGGGACAGAGAGAGAAAGGCAGAGACACAGGCAGAGGGAGAAGCAGGCUCCCUGCAGGGAGCCUGACGUGGGACUCGAUCCCAGGACCCGGGACCACACCCUGAGCUGAAGGCAGAUGCUCAUCCACUGAGCCUUCCAGGUGUUCCCAUCCCUUGGGUUUAGAAGCAUGAAUGUGUUCGUGCAUACUGACUUGUAAUACUUUGUUCCUUCCUAUUGAGCACCUUGAAUUCUUUGGAAAUAAAAGACUCUGGACCCUUUAUUCUCUACAGUAUGUGAUUUGUUGUACAUCAAUCGAACUGCAUUUUUUGGGUGUCCCAAACAGAACUUAUUUACGAAAUGGCCUGUACAGUGUCUGCCUGGCUGCACGGAGAAAGCGGGCCCUUCCUAAUCUGUGAGCCCUGCUUCUUCCUCCUGGCUCUGCAGCCUCGGAGCAGAGACCUUGGGGGUGCUGCUCCAUCUUCCUGAGGCUUGAGAGACAGUUUCCUAAGGGGGAGGGGAAUACUUACCCCUUUGGGAUAGGGAAGAAGUGCAAUGAGAAGACACACAGAAGAACCACGCGGCGCCUGGCCUGGAGAAGCUUCUUAGGAAAAGCUGCCUCUUUCUGAAUCAUCGAAUGAACAGAGCAGGACACUCCACGAUGUUGGAUCCUACCUGCGGCGACAGUGUAACAGCGCAGGUGACAGUGCAGAAUGCUGAUCAGGCAGCGUGGAGCAACCUGCCCUCCUUUCCAGCCCUUUCCUGUGCUGCACCCCGAACCUCCCCCACCCAGAGUCGAGAGUGUGCCUGUCUAUGAUUCCCAGUAAGUUCUUCACAUCCUAAAGCAACCAGCUUAACAGCCCCGGCGUGUGGACGAGGUCAUCAGUUCUGUGGAGCAGAUUGUUGAAUGCAGGGAGUCCACCUGGCUGGAAAGCAUUGGUGAGCACUUUGUUAUGCAUCUGAGAUACGGUCCCCGGUCCCC